CCUACGGGUGGCAGCAGUGGGGAAUAUUGCACAAUGGGGGAAACCCUGAUGCAGCGACGCCGCGUGAGUGAAGAAGUACUUCGGUAUGUAAAGCUCUAUCAGCAGGGAAGAAAAUGACGGUACCUGAUUAAGAAGCCACGGCUAACUACGUGCCAGCAGCCGCGGUAAUACGUAGGGGGCAAGCGUUAUCCGGAUUUACUGGGUGUAAAGGGAGCGUAGACGGUAGCUCAAGUCUGAAGUGAAAUGCCGGGGCUUAACUGCGGAACUGCUUUGGAAACUGGCGAACUAGAGUGCGGGAGGGGUAAGCGGAAUUCCUAGUGUAGCGGUGAAAUGCGUAGAUAUUAGGAGGAACACCGAUGGCGAAGGCGGCUUACUGGACCGUAACUGACGUUGAGGCUCGAAAGCGUGGGGAGCAAACAGGAUUAGAUACCCUUGUAGUC
RNAcentral lists this ribosomal RNA (440 nucleotides) under uncultured bacterium. RNAcentral describes it as "partial 16S ribosomal RNA". It matches the Rfam family "Bacterial small subunit ribosomal RNA", at positions 338 to 795 of the family's 1533-position model. The record is from RNAcentral.